AUUAAUACUGCUUAGAGUGCACUGUCAAGUUUAAAAGAAAAAUUAGCCAUCUAGCCGCCCUUAGCCCACUGUCUUGCACUUCAGAAUAUUUCCUUUAAAAACAUGAUUCUUUAAAAACAUAACGAGAACAAACGUGUUCUCAUUAUCCUUUAGCCCCAAAUUUCCUUCAGAACUUAAAAAAUCAUGCGCAAGCCAUAUUCAAGAUGUGUUAUCUCAAGAAAGUCCAGAACCCAGGCAGGAGUAUCAUGAAAACAUCAAGUCCACACCCUCCUACACAUCAAUUUCAGCGGAACCAGAAAAGUACAUUGAUUUUUUUAUAACGAAAUCCAAAGUAUUCAGAAAGAAAUAGGGGCGGUUUCCAAGGGUUUUGUUCACAGUCCCUUUCUGGAGCCGGCGUCCCUCUAUGAGAAGGGUUGGCAUUCUUUCGGUCUGUCCUGGGUGCUGGGCUCCGCUCAGCAACUGUCCUCGCGGGUCGCGGUUCCCCGCCUCACCGGCUGACCAAUGGUUGAUGCCUCUCUCCUCGCCAUCCCGCCUUCCGAUGCCACAAUAACCAAUAGAAAUGAACGUAUGGAGUCCAGUAACCAAUGGGAACUGGGGGAGGCGGAGGCGGGUCCUCCCGCGGUGCAAGCUGGGCUUCUGCUCCGUUGCCCAGGAGCCGAAGCCGCCGAGCCGCCGCCCGCAGCCGUGGUCCCUACAAUGAGUUGCUAUUUCUGGCUGCCUCAUGAAGAAUUAACAGUGGGAAUGAAAGUCGGCUCUCAGCAGCCAGUGCAGAAGUCCAACUGAGAAAAGAUGGUGACUCAGACUCCUCCGCGGGCAGUAGCACUGCAGAUGGUAAGACAUGGGUCGAACUACAACACAGCUUUUGGAGGUUAAACACUCAGGUUUUGGAGAUGACUUAGGGAUGUGACGAGAGAAGGACCCAGGUUAGCUUAGGUUUGUAAUGAUAGCUGUAGUCCUUUAGUGGAGAGAAGCCCCUUAGUGAGGUCAGGAAAAUAGUUAAGAGUCACAGAUGGAGGCAUUGUACUUUUGAACAUGUGAAUCUGAAGUGAUUUGUCCAAUAGGGAGAGGGAAUGUUUGAAUCUGAAAGUCAGCUGUAGAGAUGACCUAAGGAACUGGAGUGUAGAUACGGGAAAGGGAGCCAAUGAGGAUGGCUGGGACAUUGAGUGUAGAAGGUGGAAAAGAGAGUGCUUUCUGAAGGCAGGUGGUAAUGCUGUAGUCAAGUAGGGAUGGGAUGCAAAUUAACUGUUGGAUGUAGGAUGUUCACUAUUAUUGGAUGUAGGACAAUCACUAUUAUUGAUGAUCUUGGCAAAAGCUGUCCCGGGAAAAUAUGACUAGUGUAGGUUUCAAAGCAAAUGAUUGCGAGUGGAGAUUACAUUCCAAGUUAACUCUCUGGAUGACUCUCUGGCUUGGAAACCUAGGCUGUAGGUGUGCAGAACUUUGAGUCAGGCAUCCCCUCCUCCAUCAGGGCGUCUCCACUGACGGGAACCUGCCAGGAGGGGGCGCAGUGGCAGGAGUACAACCCUGAGCACCGAGAGAGUGUGAGAAAGAAGCCAAGUGAAAGGGUUAGUUUUCAAACUGGGCAGAAAUGUGUCUCCAGGGUUACCAGGGCUAGGAGGGUAAAACAUGGGAUAGUUACAGGUGGGGUGAGCAUACUAAGGAAUAAAAACUAGAUAGUUGUGCUAGCUUUCCA
This is a long non-coding RNA of Mus spicilegus (steppe mouse), 1690 nucleotides long. NCBI's taxonomy places the organism in Eukaryota, Metazoa, Chordata, Mammalia, Rodentia, Muridae. The record is from Ensembl.